This 775-nucleotide ribosomal RNA is filed under the name uncultured Neocallimastigales. RNAcentral's name for it is "partial large subunit ribosomal RNA". It matches the Rfam family "Eukaryotic large subunit ribosomal RNA", at positions 26 to 645 of the family's 3401-position model. Lineage: Eukaryota; Fungi; Neocallimastigomycota; Neocallimastigomycetes; Neocallimastigales. The record is from RNAcentral.
CGCAUCUGUGCAUGCAGCAUAUCAAUAAGCGGAGGAAAAGAAACUAACAAGGAUUCCCUUAGUAACGGCGAGUGAAGCGGGAAGAGCUCAAAUUUGAAAUCUUCAAGGUUUUACCUUGACGAAUUGUAGUUUAAAGAAGUGUUUUCUGUUGAAGUUUUGGUAAAAGUUCUUUGGAAUAGGACAUCAUAGAGGGUGAGAAUCCCGUAUUUGACCAUUAUUUUCAGCUGUGUGAUACACUUUCAAAGAGUCGGAUUGUUUGGGAAUGCAGUCCAAAAUGGGUGGUAAAUUUCAUCUAAAGCUAAAUAUUGGCGAGAGACCGAUAGCGAACAAGUACCGUGAGGGAAAGAUGAAAAGAACUUUGAAAAGAGAGUUAAACAGUACGUGAAAUUGUCAAAAGGGAAGCGUUCGACACCAGUGUUGGUUUCUCGAAAAUCAAUUAAAAAGAGUUUGAUUUUGUUGUGUAUUGACCUUAACAGCUUGCAUUUCAAUUUUCUUGCUUUUUUUAAUGCACUUUUCGUUUAACAAGUCAACAUCAGUUUCUUUUGUUGUAAAAAGGUCAUUGGAAGGUGGCUUUCUUUUCGGAGAAAGUGUUUAUAGCCUUUGACCUCUGCAAUCGGAGAGAUUGAGGUCUGCAGCGUAGAUCCUUCGGGGUUAGAUACAUUUGUGCUAAGUUAUAGCUUUUUCAUAGACAACUUGUUGACUAUGAUUUAGUCUUGUAGCUUACUCGCUUACGCUAUUUUACCUACGCUUAGGAUGUUGAUGUGAUACUGCGAGC